RNAcentral lists this ribosomal RNA (254 nucleotides) under uncultured bacterium. Its description in RNAcentral is "partial 16S ribosomal RNA". It matches the Rfam family "Bacterial small subunit ribosomal RNA", at positions 524 to 776 of the family's 1533-position model. The record is from RNAcentral.
CACGUAGGCACCAAGCGUUAUCCGGAUUUAUUGGGCGUAAAGAGCUCGUAGGCGGUUUGGUAAGUCGGGUGUGAAAACUCUGGGCUCAACCCAGAGAGGCCACUCGAUACUGCUAUGACUAGAGUACGGUAGGGGAGCGGGGAAUUCCUGGUGUAGCGGUGAAAUGCGCAGAUAUCAGGAGGAACACCAGCGGCGAAGGCGCCGCUCUGGGCCGUAACUGACGCUGAGGAGCGAAAGCAUGGGUAGCAAACAGG